Molecule: ribosomal RNA, 404 nt
Filed under: uncultured bacterium
Lineage: Bacteria
Description: bacterial SSU rRNA
Rfam family: Bacterial small subunit ribosomal RNA
Source: RNAcentral
UGGGGAAUAUUGCACAAUGGAGGAAACUCUGAUGCAGCAACGCCGCGUGGAGGAUGACACAUUUCGGUGCGUAAACUCCUUUUAUAUCUGAAGAUAAUGACGGUAGGAUAUGAAUAAGCGCCGGCUAACUCCGUGCCAGCAGCCGCGGUAAUACGGAGGGCGCAAGCGUUACUCGGAAUCACUGGGCGUAAAGAGCGUGUAGGCGGUUAUUUAAGUCAGAAGUGAAAUCCAAUAGCUCAACUAUUGAACUGCUUUUGAAACUGAAUAACUAGAAUAUGGGAGAGGUAGAUGGAAUUUCUGGUGUAGGGGUAAAAUCCGUAGAGAUCAGAAGGAAUACCGAUUGCGAAGGCGAUCUACUGGAACAUUAUUGACGCUGAGACGCGAAAGCGUGGGGAGCAAACAGG